RNAcentral lists this ribosomal RNA (253 nucleotides) under uncultured bacterium. RNAcentral describes it as "partial 16S ribosomal RNA". It matches the Rfam family "Bacterial small subunit ribosomal RNA", at positions 524 to 776 of the family's 1533-position model. The record is from RNAcentral.
UACGUAGGGUGCGAGCGUUGUCCGGAAUCAUUGGGCGUAAAGCGCGUGUAGGCGGCUCGGUAAGUCCGCUCUGAAAGUCCAGGGCUCAACCCUGGGAUGCGGGUGGAUACUGCCGGGCUCGAGUCCGGAAGAGGCGAGUGGAAUUCCCGGUGUAGCGGUGAAAUGCGCAGAUAUCGGGAGGAACACCAAUGGCGAAGGCAGCUCGCUGGGACGUGACUGACGCUGAGACGCGAAAGCGUGGGGAGCGAACAGG